UACGUAGGAUGCAAGCGUUGUCCGGAUUUACUGGGCGUAAAGCGCGCGCAGGCGGCAAGGUAAGUAAGGUGGGAAAUCUGUCGGCUCAACCGGGAGGGUGCACUUUAGACUGCUUUGCUUGAGGUCGGUAGAGGGGGGUGGAAUUGCUGGUGUAGCGGUGAAAUGCGUAGAGAUCAGCAGGAACACCCGUGGCGAAGGCGGCCCCCUGGGCCGUACCUGACGCUGAGGCGCGAAGGCUAGGGGAGCGAACGGG
Molecule: ribosomal RNA, 253 nt
Filed under: uncultured bacterium
Lineage: Bacteria
Description: partial 16S ribosomal RNA
Rfam family: Bacterial small subunit ribosomal RNA
Source: RNAcentral